Long non-coding RNA from Carassius auratus (goldfish), 726 nucleotides. RefSeq lists it as uncharacterized. NCBI's taxonomy places the organism in Eukaryota, Metazoa, Chordata, Actinopteri, Cypriniformes, Cyprinidae. The record is from RefSeq and is a predicted model, not a curated record. The transcript has 2 exons.
AAUUUUGUUUCGUGUAUUUGUAUGAUGUUUAAUUUGUAACAUUUCCCUACAGCCAGCGUCUACGUGGUGCGCAAGAUCCGCGCUGCCCUCAAAGAGGGAGAGCAAGCAGAACAACCUGUGCUCACACCAUGUAGUCUGGCUAAAGGUAAAAAGGAGCGCUAUGCAUCAGACGCAGCAUUAAUGGCCGCUCCAGAGCCUGAGGGUGCUGCAGGGUCAUCUGCAUCUACAGAGACAGCUAUGGAGAAAUGUGGUUCCUGAGGUUAAAGGUCACGCAGAAGCAAUUCUGGGCACAAUGGAGGCUGAAAAAACUGCAUUGCUGGACGCCAGCAUGUGUUGUGUUUUGGAUGCUAGUGUUUCAAAAAGGCCAGCUAAGCUGGUCUUUUAAGUAGAGGUUUUAAAAAUGGGAAGGCAGAUUGUAAUAAAGAUCUGACAUCAGUCCAGUUUUGCUCUGCGUGACGUUUUGUUCUUAGGUGCCAACACUUGCUGCUCCUCUCUCUUUCUCUUUUUCUGUUUCCCAUCAGCUGUAGUUUGUGAAGGUCUGUUCAUCAACCUCUGACUCAGGGGCGGUUCAGAUCUGAUGUUUACCUGCAGCUUUUGUAUUUAUAACUGACUGUACACUGAUUGAAGACAUAUCGCUGUUAGUAACAAUAACAUCUGACGCUCUUUAUAAGAUUAUGUAAUUUUUGUAAUGAUAAAAACCACUAAUAAAAUGGUCCAGUCAUUGUU